CACUUGGCUCUCAGGCUGGAGUUUGCUGACCCCUCUAGCAGAAUGCCUUCCUUCAAAGCUUUCAUCUCCUGCUAUGAAGUCUCUCAGUGUCACACCUAAGUUUCCUUCAGUUAGAUGCUAACCUUCUUGGAAUAUAUUCUUUUGAUGGUACAGAGAUGCCCUGGGUUGUAAAGCAAAAAAUCACACCUCUGACUUAGCUUGUGUUUUUGUCACACGUUUCUGAUCCAAAACAUAAAAUGAUAAAAUUCAGAGGUUGGAAGAACAACUUCAUUUCUAUUUUAGAAAACACAAUCAUUUGAACAUGUUUACUGAAAGCACUGAUAUGUUUUAUAAAUUCAGUUUUUCCUUUCUUUUCUUGUAAAACUUUCUCAUUGCUUUUACACCUUUACUAAGAAAAAAUUGCCUUGAUAUUGAAGAGGGAGACUUCCCUUACUGUUAUCCUGUAAAAGCCAUAUUUCCCACACUGCAUUAUAUACUCUCUUUUAUUAUUAUUAUUAUUUUUUGGAGAUGGAGUCGACUCGCUCAGUCACCCAGGCUGGAGUGCAAUGGCACGAUCUCGGCUCACUGAAACCUCCGACUCCCGGGUUCAAGCGAUUCUCCCGCCUCAGCCUCCCGAGUAGCUGGGAUUACAGGCACCCACCAUCAUGCCUGGCUAAUUUGUAUUUUUGUAGAGACAGGGUUUCAUCUUGUUGGCCAGGCUGGUCUUGAACUCCUGACCUCAGGUGAUCUGCCUGCCUCAGCCUCCCAAAGUGCUGGGAUUACAGGCGUGAGCCACCGCGCCGGGCCUAUAUACUCCUUUUUUAAAAAAAUAAUUUGUACUGCUUAAGUACUGCAGAUUUUUUUCUUAAUUGACUGCCACCAAGGGUUAUUGAAUAUCAAGUAUUCUUCUAAGGGCUCAAGGUGCUGCAUUAUCUCAUGUAGUUAUCCUUGUGUCACGUGUCAGCUUUGUGUGGUAGGUACUUAUAUUUAUUUUAGUUUAUAAAAAAAAUGACUCAGAAAGGUACAUAACCUGCCUAAGAUCACUCAGCUAGCAAGUGCAGGAUGGAAUUUUUAUUUUUAUUUUUUUGAGAUGGAGUUUUGCUAUGUCAUCCAUGCUGGAGUGCAGUGGCACGAUCUCAGCUCACUGCAACCUCCGCCUCCAGGGUUCAAGUAAUUCUCCUGCCUCAGACUCCCCAGUAGCUAGGAUUACUGGUGCCCACCACCACACCUGGCUAAUUUUUGUAUAUUUAGUAGAAACGGGUUUUCACCAUGUUGGCCAGGCUGGUCUCGAAUUCCUGACCUCAAGUGAUCUGCCCACCUCGGCCUCCCAAAGUGCUAGGAUUAACAGGCAUAAGCCACCCCCCGCGCUUGGCCUAGGAUGGAAAUUCAAACCUAGAUUUGUGAAUCUUCAAAGAUCACCAAUGCUCUUGAGCAGUGCUAGCCUGCAUCUCUGUGAUUUGCCAUUCUGAGGAAGUGCAAUUUCUGGUAUUCAAUAAGAACCUUGUGAAAUGUUAUUUUGAUGUAAUUGCAAAGGCUUGUCUCGACAAUAUCCAUUUCCCAUCCAAAAACCAAUUACAAAUUGGUUGGCCAGCAUGAUUAAAGGCUCAGAAUGAAUUAAGCCCCAAAACCUAAUUAUGUUCAAAAAACGCUGCAGUAGACAGAGGCAUGUCUUUUUAUCUACCUACUUUCUGCUGUAUAGGUUAUUUUUUUGCAUAGUCAAAUCAUGUUUGUUUUCUUCAUAAUUUCUGCUUUUGGUGUCUUUUAUAGAAAGGACUUCCCCAAUCCAAAAUUAUUAAAGUGAUCAUCUGUUUUCCUUUCAGUAUUUCCCUUGAAGUAAACCAAUCUCCAAGCUGUUUGUAAGAUUGUUUGGCAAUUUAUUUAGAAGAAAUCUAUGUCAGAGGAUCCAAAUUUAAUAUGCUUUUGCUUUGAUUUCAGUACCAAAAAGUUAGAUAAUUUUGCUAUGACAUUAUCUUCUCCCUUACAAGUUUUGAUAUCUGAAUUUAUAAUGUUCAAACUUAAGCCCACUUUUCAACAGAUUCAGUUACCUUUGAAACUGUGUAUCAUGUUUAUUAAUUGAAGAGAAGCCCAUGAGCUGUAGAAGAAAGCUCCUAUUACUAGGGAUUAGUUAGGUAUUACUAUCUAAAUAACUAGCUCACCAUCAUAAAUGAUUUCUUAAAUGGUGUCUUAUUAAUUCCCCAUGAGAGAGAUAAUUUAAUUCAGAAAUUGCCUGUUGCAUAGCCUAUCUGCGCACUUGUGACCCACAAAUGGAUGAUCUAUAUGUUGCUUUGUGGAACAACUGGAUAAAAUUUCAAUCUUCUAAAAGACUCACUAAAUAAAUUUUUUAUCUGGUCAUAUAAUUGAGAGUUAUAGUCCACCAAAUGAGCUCUAUUGGUUUACAGCUGGGAAUUGGCCAUAAAAACUUCAUAAUAUCUUUUAAAAAAAUAUUUUCUAUCUGAUUCCACAGAGAUAUUUUGGUCUGCAGCCUUUAUUUUCUGCUCCUUUCUUUUCUGCUUUUCUACUGAGUAGCUUGUGAAUUUACUUUCACUUACAUUUCUUGCUAUGAGUUUUCUGAUUAGAAAUGUAAAGCCAUAAGAUUUUAAAUUUAAGUGGUUAGAAAAAGCAGUGUACAAAAUUGACAGAGGUUAUAAAUGUUGUGAACAAGAAGAGAAGUAUAUAUUCACAGAAAGAAACCUGGACAGAUCAUAAUGUUUGCAGUGAUUAUUCCUGAGUGGUGGGAGCAUGGAUGAUUUUCAGUUUCUUUGUAUUUUGGUUAUUUUCAAAUGUUCAGCAAUGAGCUCAAUUACUUUUACAUAAUUACAGAAUAUUUGGAGUCAAACAUUCACCUAUUUCCCUUUUACUAAAACUUAUUGGAAUUAACAUCAUUUGAUAUAGUGACUAUUUCUGAGUUAAGAAAACAUAAUUAAGACCGCAAAAUUACAAUAAUUAUUAAGCCACUGGCUUAUUCCAUAGCACUGUAUAAACACAGCAUAGAAUAAGAAGAUGAAGAUCCCAGAAUGUGGAAACAAAAAGCUGACAAGUGAUUGAGGAAUGGUGAGAAGACACAGGUUCUGAGGACUGCUGGACAGCCUUUCCUGUUUUUAAAGAAAAGCUCUCUUAUCAUGAGAGAAGAGUCAUGAAAACCAAAAGGUUUCUGCAUUUAAUUCGUUAUUUAGAGGGCUGAAUUUAUGCUUUGACUUACUCUUUGAUUACAAGCACUGGUGGUUAUAUUUUAUCUAUUUUGUGGAAAUGAGUUAGCACAUGUAGAAAACUGCCCUGAAAGGGGCUGAAAUGAAGCCAUUAAGACCGAAGUGUACUUUUUAAAACUCCAAACGUCAUGAUUUAUUUCUUGAUCUUGGUGAUACUUAUAUGGGUGUGUUCACUUUGUAAACAUUCAUCAAACUCUAUACUUACCACUUGUGUACUUUUCUGUAUGUGUGUUAUACUUCAAUUAAAAAGUUUACUUGAAAGAAAAAA
RNAcentral lists this long non-coding RNA (3453 nucleotides) under Homo sapiens (human). RNAcentral's name for it is "long independently transcribed non-coding RNA 2986 (LINC02986)". Lineage: Eukaryota; Metazoa; Chordata; Mammalia; Primates; Hominidae. The record is from RNAcentral.